Molecule: ribosomal RNA, 497 nt
Filed under: uncultured bacterium
Lineage: Bacteria
Description: partial 16S ribosomal RNA
Rfam family: Bacterial small subunit ribosomal RNA
Source: RNAcentral
GAUGAACGCUGGCGGCGUGCCUAAUACAUGCAAGUCGAGCGAACAGACGAGGAGCUUGCUCCUCUGACGUUAGCGGCGGACGGGUGAGUAACACGUGGAUAACCUACCUAUAAGACUGGGAUAACUUCGGGAAACCGGAGCUAAUACCGGAUAAUAUAUUGAACCGCAUGGUUCAAUAGUGAAAGACGGUUUUGCUGUCACUUAUCGAUGGAUCCGCGCCGCAUUAGCUAGUUGGUAAGGUAACGGCUUACCAAGGCAACGAUGCGUAGCCGACCUGAGAGGGUGGUCGGCCACACUGGAACUGAGACGCGGUCCAGAGGACUACGGGAGGCAGCAGUAGGGAAUCUUCCGCAAUGGGCGAAAGCCUGACGGAGCAGCGCCGAGUGAGUGAUGAAGGUCUUCGGAGCGUAAAACUCUGUUAUUAGGGAAGAACAAAUGUGUAAGUAACUAUGCACGUCUUGACGGUACCGAAUCAGAAAGCCACGGCUAACUACGUG